AUAGCGUAUAUUAAAGUUGUUGCGGUUAAAAAGCUCGUAGUUGAAUCUGUGUCCCACGCUGUCGGUUCACCGCUCGCGGUGUUUAACUGGCAUGAUUGUGGGACGUCCUACCGGUGGGCUUAGCUCUUCACGGGGCGGCCCAACUAAUAUCCCAUCGCGGUGCUCUUCAUUGAGUGUCGAGGUGGGCCGGUACGUUUACUUUGAACAAAUUAGAGUGCUUAAAGCAGGCUACCUUCGCCUGAAUACUGCGUGCAUGGAAUAAUGGAAUAGGACCUCGGUUCUAUUUUGUUGGUUUUCGGAACCCCGAGGUAAUGAUUAAUAGGGACAGAUGGGGGCAUUCGUAUUGCGACGUUAGAGGUGAAAUUCUUGGAUCGUCGCAAGACGGACAGAAGCGAAAGCAUUUGCCAAAAAUGUUUUCAUUAAUCAAGAACGAAAGUUAGAGGUUCGAAGGCGAUCAGAUACCGCCCUAGUUCUAACCAUAAACGAUGCCAGCUAGCGAUCCGCCGAAGUUCCUCCGAUGACUCGGCGGGCAGCUUCCGGGAAACCAAAGCUUUUGGGUUCCGGGGGAAGUAUGGUUGCAAAGCUGAAACUUAAAGGAAUUGACGGAAGGGCACCACCAGGAGUGGAGCCUGCGGCUUAAUUUGACUCAACACGGGAAACCUCACCAGGCCCGGACACCGGAAGGAUUGACAGAUUGAUAGCUCUUUCUUGAUUCGGUGGGUGGUGGUGCAUGGCCGUUCUUAGUUGGUGGAGCGAUUUGUCUGGUUAAUUCCGAUAACGAACGAGACUCUAGCCUGCUAAAUAGGCGUACUUUCUGGUAUCUCGAAGGCCCCCGGCCUCGGUCGGGUGGUUUUUACUACCGACGUACAAACAAAUCUUCUUAGAGGGAC
Molecule: ribosomal RNA, 890 nt
Filed under: Xiphydria prolongata
Lineage: Eukaryota; Metazoa; Arthropoda; Insecta; Hymenoptera; Xiphydriidae
Description: SSU rRNA
Rfam family: Eukaryotic small subunit ribosomal RNA
Source: RNAcentral